RNA transcript from Helianthus annuus (common sunflower), 1848 nucleotides. RefSeq lists it as uncharacterized. The transcript has 4 exons. NCBI's taxonomy places the organism in Eukaryota, Viridiplantae, Streptophyta, Magnoliopsida, Asterales, Asteraceae. The record is from RefSeq and is a predicted model, not a curated record.
UACAUCUACCACCGCCUCUAUCUCUUCUCUCUGCAACUGACUAUAGCUCUCUGUUUCUAUCUCUAUCUCUACCACCAUAUCAACCACCGCCUCAGCCGCCGGCCACCCCUGCAACCACCAUCCUCGCCGGCCACCCCUGCAACCACCAUCCACCACCCCACUCUAUCUCUUUAUCUAUACCCAACCACCACCGGCGCCACCAGCCCCCACCUACCACCGCCACUGUUAACACCACCUUCGAACUAAUCUUAUAAAGAAUUUAUCAUCAGCCCACAUAUUCUUCACAUUUCAAAACCCCAUAAUUUCUGUGUGUGGUCGUUGGAGAUUUGACUAAAAAAAGAAAGCGUUCCCUCCACGCAUCGCCCACGAGCCUAUAAAUACAACCACCAACCCACACGAUCCUCCCUGCAAUUGCUACCGUCAAUAUGCAGACUCUGCAACAGAAAGCUUCAGAAUGGAGCGGCGUUAAGCAGCUCCAACCUUUCAUCAAUCUUUCUACUGAUUUUUACACGAGGUAUUUGUUUUUAGUUUCUGGGUUCAAACUCAUUGUUAUUAUUCUGAUAAAGUUGAGAUCUUUGGUGUUGGGUCAGUGGCAAAAUGGAUUAAACUUAGUUGUAAAUAGGGGAAUUAUAGGUUUGACUUUUGAUGGUCAAACGUAGAACAUAAGUUAGAACUUGUUUUUCUGAUGGGUGUUUUUGUCUUGCUUCUUAUUGUAUUUGGUCGGAUUAGUGUUUAAAUUGAUUGAUUGAAGUUUUUUAACUAGCUUUUAUUCAAAGAAAGAAAUGGAUUUUGACUUUUUUUCAUGGGUUGAUGAGGGUGGGAGGUGGUGGUGGUCGGCGGCAGGUGAGGGUGGGAGGUGGUGGUCGGCGGCAGGUCUGGGUGGGAGGUGGUGGCGGCAGGUGAUGGCAAGUGGUGGGUCUGCAACUUUUGAAGAUGCUGCAGCGCCACCAUUGCUCGCCACGAGCCACGAACCAGUGGUGUUACCUAGCCGCAGACCUUGGCCGCACUCAGUUAUGUUAAACGUCACGUUUAGCUUCGACGUCGCUGAGAUGGAUUUCAAAUCACAAUCUAGCCAACGUCACUCAUCCGUGCAUGACCGUUGCUGUUCAUUCGAAGAUUCGUUACCAUUCGACUGUUGCGAUAAUCAAGAAAAUCAUCUUCAAAGUUUUCGUCCCAGGGACAUUGAACUAGCCAACGGAUGACACAAAGUAAAUUACAUUCCCUACUUCUAAUCUGAACCACAAGUAGUUUUUGUACGACUUAACGACGAGAUCGAGUUGUUUUGCUUUGCUUGCUAAUAAGGAGGGGACCCACAUUUUGCUUCGUCGCCAACGUCCAAGAAGAGACGGCGAGGACGGGGACGGGGGCGGUGGUUUGGUGUAGCGCGCGUCGACGGUCUAGGACGGAUGGGGGACGACCCCAUACCAUGUAGCCUAAGGGUCAACUCUUCAGGUUACAAACAUAACAGGAAGAUAGUUUUUAACAUGAAACAAAUUUUAAGAUGAGACUUUAGAUAAUUGAAGAAAUAAGAGGACCUUUUUCAGGAACCUGGUAGUGGUACCUAGGGAUGAGAUCGGUACGAUACCGGUACCGUACCGGUACCGAUACCGUAAAUACCGUUACCGUAAUUGAGAAAAUGUGGAUACUGAUUACCGUACCGUAUUUAUAGAUUCGGUACCGGUAUCGGUAUCGGUACCGGUAUUUCGGUACUUUACCGUAUUGGUACCGCUUUGGUGUAAUCCAUUGUUUUACCUAAAAAAAUUUCAUGUGCAACUCAUCCAUCGAUUAUUAAUUGAACUAGAGUAAUAUAUAGAGGAAUGUAAACAAAGGGUAAACAUAUUAAGUAGU